GAGUCAGCUGGAGUUGGAAGAUGCAGUCCAAGAUGAUUUGAAGCGUGCAACUGGAGAAUUUGUCAAAGAUGAGACAGAUGCUAAUAAACUUAACCGGGUUCUGCAACUAACAGGAUUUAGCGACCCUGUUUAUGCGGAAGCAUAUGUAACAGUUCAUCAUUAUGAUAUUGUCCUGGAUGUGACAGUUAUUAAUAGAACUAAAGAGACCCUCCAGAAUUUAUGUUUGGAAUUGGCAACUAUGGGUGAUCUUAAACUUGUUGAGCGUCCACAAAAUUAUACACUUGCUCCC
This 289-nucleotide unclassified non-coding RNA is filed under the name Hevea brasiliensis (rubber tree). The record is from RNAcentral. Lineage: Eukaryota; Viridiplantae; Streptophyta; Magnoliopsida; Malpighiales; Euphorbiaceae.